Molecule: ribosomal RNA, 229 nt
Filed under: uncultured bacterium
Lineage: Bacteria
Description: partial 16S ribosomal RNA
Rfam family: Bacterial small subunit ribosomal RNA
Source: RNAcentral
UCCGUAGGUGGAUAAUUAAGUCAGAGGUGAAAUCCUGCAGCUCAACUGUAGAAUUGCCUUUGAUACUGGUUAUCUUGAGUCAUUAUGAAGUGGUUAGAAUGUGUAGUGUAGCGGUGAAAUGCAUAGAUAUUACAUAGAAUACCAAUUGCGAAGGCAGAUUACUAAUAAUCAACUGACACUGAUGGACGAAAGCGUGGGGAGCGAACAGGAUUAGAUACCCUGGUAGUCC